UCAGAAGCAGAUUCUAAUUGUCUUUCUUAACUAGAGGUUGAUGGACAGAAGGAGGUGAAAAUUCUCAUGAAGCAUCCUGCCACGGUCCAUGGUAGAGAAGUAACAAAAAUCAAACUAGUUUUCACCACCCAGUUUGAUAUUUUAAGUGUGUUAAAAAAAAUUCUGGGAGAAGACAAAAUGAUGAUAAUUAUGGGUCAAGAGGAUCUUGUCAGUGAGGAGUCACAAACAAGACAAAAUGGAACAUUAACAACGUGUGAAUCCCCUUAUCUACAGCAGACCAAAGAUACUUCAAGCACUGAAAAAACAGAUUCUUUAUCAGACAUCCUGGCAUCUCAAUAUAGCGAUCAGACAGGGAC
Molecule: long non-coding RNA, 356 nt
Filed under: Crocodylus porosus (Australian saltwater crocodile)
Lineage: Eukaryota; Metazoa; Chordata; Crocodylia; Crocodylidae
Description: lncRNA (ENSCPRG00005001988.1)
Source: RNAcentral